UACGUAGGUGGCAAGCGUUGUCCGGAUUUACUGGGCGUAAAGGGCGUGCAGGCGGUCUGUUAAGCGUAGGGUGAAAGCUCCUGGCUCAACUGGGAGAGGUCUCUGCAUACUGGCGGACUCGAGGGAGGCAGAGGAAAGUGGAAUUCCCGGUGUAGUGGUGAUAUGCGUAGAUAUCGGGAGGAACACCUGUGGCGAAGGCGGCUUUCUGGGCCUUACCUGACGCUGAGACGCGAAAGCGUGGGGAGCGAACCGG
Molecule: ribosomal RNA, 253 nt
Filed under: uncultured bacterium
Lineage: Bacteria
Description: partial 16S ribosomal RNA
Rfam family: Bacterial small subunit ribosomal RNA
Source: RNAcentral